UCUAAGAAUCAUUCAGACAGAAGACUCCACUGUGCAGUGUUAGCAGCAGCAGCUAGAAGAAAAGACCUGGCAAGGAAUAUUCUUGACAAAUGUGAUGAAGAGCUGAUGACACCAAAAGACCAGGACAAUGAACUGAGCAGAAGCAUAUGUCUUCAGACACCCCAGUCAGAAAAUCAGAGGAUGUUAAAGGCGGAAGAGCCCUCAGUAUCCCCAAGCUGAAGGGAGCAGGAUGCAGUUCAGAUACCAUCUCUGCCUGUUAGCAGCUGAGACUUUGGAGCUGGAUCUGUGUGGAUGUCUGAGGUUUCUAGAAGACUCGCCAGAGGAUGAAUGGGGUGUCGUAGGAGCAGGUGUCAGAUGAUGAUUUCCUGGAUUCUCUGUAAAGCAUUUGGCCAUUUCUCAUGGCCAUAUUCUAGAAAGUUCCCAGAGAGGAUUUGCCACGCGUGGAUCUCAUGGAAAUAAGUGGGAGAGUUCCAGGGAUGGCUUCUGGCUGAGCAGACGCUCCUAACAUGCAGCCCUUUAAUCUCUUUCUCAUAUUUUUUCUCUCGUUCCAUCAAGCCAACCAUUGCUCUCCCACAAAAUAAAGUGUGAAUAUCCACUGUCUUUAUUUUCUUGGAACCCGAGGAGAGUCGGGCUCACCUGCUCACUCUGGCCGCUGUCCUGCACCCAUCCUGUCAGGACUGGGCCAGGUACCACUUCCUCCUGCAUCGCCUGAGCUCUGGCUCCAGCCCAGGCCGUGUGCAUGGGUCACACCCACCCAAUGAUGCUUUGUUGUCUACCUGCAUGUAUAUAUCUACCUGUACAUACAGAAAUGUACAUAAUACACACAAAUGCAUAUAAAAUUGCGGGAACUAAAGCUGAAGCCCUCCCUUUUCCCUGGCAGACCCGAGACCAUUAUGCAAGUCGUGUGUCAUUUUCCAGCCCUUGAUCUCCAGACCUCUCCGUGGUAUUGCCUGCUGGCCACCCUCGGACCUCAGGAUGUCACUCCUAGCUGUCUUCAAACCCCCUGGAAUCCCAGCUUCUUCAUUCUCUUUUCCUCUUUACUUGCCCAAUCCUUAAAGAUUGGUGCUCCCAAAGGCCUAACCUUGGCUGGUUCUGCUCUCCGCAUGUACUUUCUCACCAUAGGAUUUUAUCCACUCUCCCUACUUUAGGGAGCCCUGGCUCCUCCUUAUAGUUUUUCCUCUUGUCCCCUGCGACAUUGUCCUACCAUCAAAACUCCAACCAAGCUAUCAUACAAUCACCUCCCCAUCACUAUUUCACUGGGUUAAGCUUACUAAUACGUAUGAAUGUCUGUCCAAUGCCACACAAUCUGUCAGGUGUUUUAUGUACAUUAUUUCACAAGCCUUACAACAAUCAAGUAAAAAAGAUCCUAUAAAUUCCCAUUCAGAUAGGCAAACUGAACUCACAGCGAUUUAGCUCAUAGCCUAGAAUUUAAAUUUGGUCAAGAAGGGUCUUUACCUGGCAUCGAGGUCUCAAGCUCCAAAGAGCAGGCUCCCCUGUAGCUCACCAUUAGCCUCCCACCCCCCAGUCCCGACACAUUUGCUUCUUCUGCCCAGUGAGGGCCUCCAGACACUCCCUGCUUAGGGCACCAUGGGCCCUAAGAUAGAUAGAAUUACUUUUUCCAGAAAUGAGUAUGACCAUGUCUCUUCUUUUCUAGAAGCCUCUGUUGACUAUACUCCAUAAUUAAGUCCUUACUAGCUGGUUUGGCCAGUGGUUACAAGGCUUGUCCAAACAUUGGAAUCACCUGGGGAGUUUUGAAAACCACUGAUGCCUGCUUCCCACCCCCAGAGGAUGUGAAUUCAUUGGUCCGCAAAGUAGCCGGGUUUUGAUGUUUGUUUCAUAAAAUCCCAGGUCAUUCUAAUGGACAAGUAAGUUUGGAAACCGCUGAGUUAGGAACCAAUGGCCCUUCCGUUUUGACUCCUUCCUAACUCUUCAGCAACCAUGGAUCUCCCCAGCUUCAAACCCUGCUGUGGAUUUAACCAUCCAGCUCUCUGUCCUGGGGUCUUUUUUCUCUUUGACCAACUUCUACAUCCUUCGAUAUUCAGCUCAAAUGUGCCUCUGAGCUUCUCUGCCCUGACCACCAUUCUGCCCUUUGCUCUCGCCACCAGCCACUCACACUCCCCUGUAAUCUAGCUGUUUACCCAGCAGUUUCCCCAGACGUGUGCAGGUAAGGGUGGAUACUCCUGCUCACCUCUUUGUAUCUCCUUCCAGAACACAGUGCUCCGGAGAUACUCUGUGCAUGAAUGGAUGGAUGAGCGAGUCAGUAAAUACCUAGAUAGGAAGUGGAAGGGUCAUUUGUAAAGAUGUGGACAGACCUAGAGGCUGUCAUACAGAGUAAGUUAGAAAGAGAAAAACAAACGUCGUAUAUUAAUGCAUAUCUGUGGAAUCUAGAAAAAUGGUACAGAUGAUCCUAUUUGCAAAGUACAGACAGAGACACAGUCAUAGAGAACAAACGUAAGAACACCAAGGGGGGUGGGGGUGGGAUGAACUGGGAGAUUGGGACUGACAUAUAUGCACUACUGAUCCCAUAUAUAAAAUAAAUAAGGAGAGCCUACUGUAGCACUCAGGGAACCCUACGCAGGAGUCUGUGCUCACUAAGUGGGAAGAAAACCCAAGGAGGAGGGGAUGUAUGUAAAUGUACCCAGGCCGCACUAGCGGUGAAGAACUCACCUGCCAAUGCAGGAGA
Molecule: long non-coding RNA, 2683 nt
Organism: Odocoileus virginianus texanus
Lineage: Eukaryota; Metazoa; Chordata; Mammalia; Artiodactyla; Cervidae
Source: RefSeq, a predicted model, not a curated record